UUUCCCCUUGGCUCAUUAGAACAACAACAACAAAAAAGUUCUCCACUUUACAACGAUUCAUUACGUUUUCUUAUUUUCACCUGAAUCGUGUUGGGAUCUUGUCUUAACUUGAGAAAGUCUGUCCUAAUGGAAAUCUUAUGUGAGAUUCGAGCUCUAGAUAAGGAAUAAAAGAGGAGAUUUUUGAUCUUGGUGGAAAAAAAAGUAACCGAACAUGGAAGGAGAUGUGAUUUCGGGAUUUGGAGAGAGACACAACAAUGUAGAUGGGAAAGUGCUGCAGAGUUUCAAGAAGAGCUUUGUGGAUGUUCAAGACAUUUUAGAUCAGAACCGGCUUUUGAUCAACGAGAUCAAUCAGAACCAUGAGUCCAAUCAACCCGAUAACUUGAGUCGAAACGUUGGUCUUAUCAAAGAGCUCAACAACAAUAUAAGAAGAGUAGCUAGCCUUUACGGUGAUCUCUCUCAUUCUUUCUCAAGAUCAGUGGAUGCUUCAUCAGAAGGUGAAUCUGGUGGAACCAUUGGGAUAGCUAACCAGAAGAGAUUUAGAUCCGGUUAGUAGAAUAUAUUACCGAGAACCACCCACCAAAGUUGAUCAUUGUAGACCAUAUAUUCAAAGAAUACUCAGUUGUAGUUGCAGGGUACAACAAGAUUGAUGUUGUUGGAAUUGAUGAUGUGGGUAGACUAGACUAGCACGGCAGCCAAAUUCCAUUGUUAUUUAGCUGCAAUCUAAAGGCAAGUUUAUUACACUGAAAACACCAUUUUUCUAGUUUGCAAAGAUGCCAAAUGCCAAAACUCCAGUUCAGUUCUGUUUUAGUUUCCUUCUGCACUCACUGGUCUAACGGCGAAUGACUGGUUUGCUUGAAACAGCUAAACUUAGACAGGCUACUGGGACAAAAUGGCCCUUGUUUUUCUCUGAGCCUCAAAGGCCAUCCCCUAGAUUUCGAUGAGCCUUUUUCAUAGAUUAUAUUUUGAUUUUUGACAAGUCUUCCCUGAGUUCUUGAUAUAUUCAGGUAAAUGUUAAAAUGCAUCCAUAGUGAAAGUAUAAAACAAACAAGAAGGAACAGAGUCGACUCAGAUUCCAAGUUACUGAGAAGUGGCUUAAGUAGCCAAAUAAUUCAAGCUCAAAUAAUUCUCAUCAAUAUUCUUAUAUAUGUAAACGAUAUAAAGAAGCUGUUGUUUAUCUAUGGUUCGUGUAUGUGUUUCACAGGUACCAUUCCGGAAACAUGACAUAAAGAGAAAGCAACAUGGCUCAUUUUAUUUAUCUUCGCCGGCACUUGGCCCAGAGAUAUCUUCCAGUAACUAACCCCGGUGGGUAUAGAUCAGUAGUCUGGUCUGAACCAGCACUGCGUAUUGCAUCAUUGCAAUGUGUGUUGUGUGUAAACCAAUAAGACAAUGAAGUUGCUAAUCUUAACCCUUGUAACUUUAUUGUUCCCCUACAGUGAGUGAAUCACCAAAUCACCAGAUCAACCAGUUGCUAAUUAAAAAAAUAUGUAUUCUGUUAGAAGCACAGCUACAAACUACUUUUAUUUACCAAGCCAUUGAGGUAAGGUAAAGAAGUAAUCAGACAACUUUUACUUUUGUGCAACGUAGACACCAUGUAUAUAUAUCUUUAUAUAA
RNA transcript from Raphanus sativus (radish), 1611 nucleotides. It is a transcript of the gene named protein ELF4-LIKE 4, with no coding region annotated. Lineage: Eukaryota; Viridiplantae; Streptophyta; Magnoliopsida; Brassicales; Brassicaceae. The record is from RefSeq and is a predicted model, not a curated record. The transcript is spliced from 3 exons.